Molecule: ribosomal RNA, 491 nt
Filed under: uncultured bacterium
Lineage: Bacteria
Description: partial 16S ribosomal RNA
Rfam family: Bacterial small subunit ribosomal RNA
Source: RNAcentral
AGUGAACGCUGGCGGUAGGCCUAACACAUGCAAGUCGAACGGCAGCACAGUAAGAGCUUGCUCUUACGGGUGGCGAGUGGCGGACGGGUGAGGAAUACAUCGGAAUCUACUUUUUCGUGGGGGAUAACGUAGGGAAACUUACGCUAAUACCGCAUACGACCUACGGGUGAAAGCAGGGGAUCUUCGGACCUUGCGCGAUUGAAUGAGCCGAUGUCGGAUUAGCUAGUUGGCGGGGUAAAGGCCCACCAAGGCGACGAUCCGUAGCUGGUCUGAGAGGAUGAUCAGCCACACUGGAACUGAGACACGGUCCAGACUCCUACGGGAGGCAGCAGUGGGGAAUUUGGACAAUGGGCGCAAGCCUGAUCCAGCCAUACCGCGUGGGUGAAGAAGGCCUUCGGGUUGUAAAGCCCUUUUGUUGGGAAAGAAAAGCAGCAGGUUAAUACCCCGCUGUUCUGACGGUACCCAAAGAAUAAGCACCGGCUAACUUCGUG